AUCAAUAAUAUAUUAAAAAGGGCACCGCCCUGCCCAGUGAAACAAUUAAACGGGCCGCGGGUACCCCUAAACCGUGCAAAGGUAGCGUAAUCAUUUGUCUAUUAAUUGUAGACCAGUAUGAAAGGCAAAAUGAGGGUUUAUCUGUCUCUUACAAUAAAUCAAUUAAACUGAUCUCCUAGUAAAAAAGCUAGAAUCUACACAUAAGACCAGAAGACCCUGUGAAGCUUAAACUAAAUCAUUAAACCAUAUAAUACUUACUUUCGGUUGGGGCGACCUUGGAAAGAAAAAGAACUUCCAAAUAUUCCAUACUAGGCCCACAAGCCUUACAACAGACCCAGUACAACUGAUAACUGAACCAAGUUACUCCAGGGAUAACAGCGCUAUCUUCUUCAAGAGCCCAUAUCAAAAAGAAGGCUUACGACCUCGAUGUUGGAUCAGGACAUCCUAAUGGUGUAACCGCUAUUAAGGGUUCGUUUGUUCAACGAUUAAUAGUCCUACGUGAUCUGAGUUCAGACCGGA
RNAcentral lists this ribosomal RNA (519 nucleotides) under Dipsas mikanii. RNAcentral's name for it is "partial 16S ribosomal RNA". It matches the Rfam family "Bacterial large subunit ribosomal RNA", at positions 1832 to 2620 of the family's 2925-position model. The record is from RNAcentral. Lineage: Eukaryota; Metazoa; Chordata; Lepidosauria; Squamata; Dipsadidae.